AAGUCGUAACAAGGUUUCCGUAGGUGAACCUGCGGAAGGAUCAUUAACACUUUUUAAUUAAAUUUCUUUUUCUAGAAAUUUAUAAAACCCCACAAUUUUGGAUGAAUUUAAUUAUUUAAUUUUAAUUUUUUUUUAAUUUUUUUUAUAUAACUAAAAUAUUUUGGACUAAAAUCUUUUUUUAUAAAUUUUUAUAUAAUUUAAAAAACAACUCUUAACAACGGAUAUCUUGGCUCUC
RNAcentral lists this unclassified non-coding RNA (235 nucleotides) under fungal sp. RNAcentral's name for it is "partial internal transcribed spacer region". The stretch from base 1 to 46 matches the Rfam family "Eukaryotic small subunit ribosomal RNA", at positions 1786 to 1831 of the family's 1831-position model. Lineage: Eukaryota; Fungi. The record is from RNAcentral.